RNAcentral lists this ribosomal RNA (342 nucleotides) under Triticum aestivum (bread wheat). RNAcentral describes it as "partial small subunit ribosomal RNA". The record is from RNAcentral. Lineage: Eukaryota; Viridiplantae; Streptophyta; Magnoliopsida; Poales; Poaceae.
AUGCCUCAGCCCCCUGAGCUCGCUGCCGUUGUCCACCGUGCAAACUUCGAUUUGGGCACCUUGGGCAGCGACAGCUUCGGCUUCUGCGUCGAUUGCUGCAACGGCCUCCUCCUACUCACCUCCUACCUGCACGACGGCCCACCAGUAAGAACAGUCCGAUGCCCGCUCUACCCUGGGAGAUACACGACCAUCCUCCCGCCAGUUCCGCAAACCAGCAGCAUCCAUGAUGACCGCUUCACAUACUACGACAGAGAGGUCAUCCUCAAAGGCGGCGACGACGGCCUGUCCUUCUUCUAUCUGGCAAUGGGCGUGGAAGGGCAGCAGACAAUUGUGGAUGUGUAA